This 94-nucleotide transfer RNA is filed under the name Cadophora sp. DSE1049. It matches the Rfam family "tRNA". Rfam says of the family: Transfer RNA (tRNA) molecules are approximately 80 nucleotides in length. Their secondary structure includes four short double-helical elements and three loops (D, anti-codon, and T loops). The record is from Rfam by way of RNAcentral. Lineage: Eukaryota; Fungi; Ascomycota; Leotiomycetes; Helotiales; Ploettnerulaceae.
GUCACUAUGCCAGAGUGGUUAAUGGGUAAGACUUGAAUUAAACUUCAGCUAUCUUAUGGUUUCGGCCUCGUAGGUUCAAAUCCUGCUGGUGACG